CUAUACAUGACUCUGUGCAUAUCAAUAAGCGGAGGAAAAGCAACUAACAAGGAUUCCCUUAGUAACGGCGAGUGAAGCGGGAAGAGCUCAAAUUUGAAAUCUUCAAGGUUCUACCUUGACGAAUUGUAGUUUAUAGAAGUGUUUUCUGUUAGUAGAGUGGCAAAAGUUCUUUGGAAUAGGACAUCAUAGAGGGUGAGAAUCCCGUAUUUGGUCAUUCCUUCUAGCGUUGUGAUACACUUUCAACGAGUCCGGAUUGUUUGGGAAUGCAGUCCAAAAUGGGUGGUAAAUUUCAUCUAAAGCUAAAUAUUGGCGAGAGACCGAUAGCGAACAAGUACCGUGAGGGAAAGAUGAAAAGAACUUUGAAAAGAGAGUUAAACAGUACGUGAAAUUGUCAAAAGGGAAGCGUUUGACACCAGUGUUGUUUUUCCGAAAAUCAAUUACGAAUGUUUUGUUUUUGAGAAGUUAUGACUUCAUCGGCUUGCUUCUCUCUUUACGAAACUUUCUUAAUGCACUUUUCGGUUAACAAGUCAACAUCAAUUUCUUUUGUUGUAAAAGGGUAUGAGGAAGGUGGCUUUCUUUUCGGAGAAAGUGUUUAUAGCCUUGUAGCCUCUGCAAUCGGAGAGAUUGAGGUCUGCAGCGUAGAUCCUUCGGGGUUAGAUACACUUGUGCUAAGUUAUAGCUUUUUCAUAGACAACUUGUUGACUAUAUUUAGUCUUGUAGGCUUACUCGCUUAUGCUAUUUUACCUACGCUUAGGAUGUUGAUAGUCACAGCGUGUAC
Molecule: ribosomal RNA, 778 nt
Filed under: uncultured Neocallimastigales
Lineage: Eukaryota; Fungi; Neocallimastigomycota; Neocallimastigomycetes; Neocallimastigales
Description: partial large subunit ribosomal RNA
Rfam family: Eukaryotic large subunit ribosomal RNA
Source: RNAcentral